CGACGAGUUCUCGUUGAUGAUCGGUGCUUGCACUGAGAUUCAACAUGGAACGAGUGGCGGACGGGUGAGUAACACGCGGGUAACCUGCCCUUAAGUGGGGGAUAACAUUUGGAAACAGAUGCUAAUACCGCAUAGAUCCAAGAACCGCAUGGUUCUUGGCUGAAAGAUGGCGUAAGCUAUCGCUUUUGGAUGGACCCGCGGCGUAUUAGCUAGUUGGUGAGGUAAUGGCUCACCAAGGCGAUGAUACGUAGCCGAACUGAGAGGUUGAUCGGCCACAUUGGGACUGAGACACGGCCCAAACUCCUACGGGAGGCAGCAGUAGGGAAUCUUCCACAAUGGACGCAAGUCUGAUGGAGCAACGCCGCGUGAGUGAAGAAGGCUUUCGGGUCGUAAAACUCUGUUGUUGGAGAAGAAUGGUCGGCAGAGUAACUGUUGUCGGCGUGACGGUAUCCAACCAGAAAGCCACGGCUAACUACGUGCCAGCAGCCGCGGUAAUACGUAGGUGGCAAGCGUUAUCCGGAUUUAUUGGGCGUAAAGCGAGCGCAGGCGGUUUUUUAAGUCUGAUGUGAAAGCCCUCGGCUUAACCGAGGAAGCGCAUCGGAAACUGGGAAACUUGAGUGCAGAAGAGGACAGUGGAACUCCAUGUGUAGCGGUGAAAUGCGUAGAUAUAUGGAAGAACACCAGUGGCGAAGGCGGCUGUCUGGUCUGUAACUGACGCUGAGGCUCGAAAGCAUGGGUAGCGAACAGGAUUAGAUACCCUGGUAGUCCAUGCCGUAAACGAUGAAUGCUAGGUGUUGGAGGGUUUCCGCCCUUCAGUGCCGCAGCUAACGCAUUAAGCAUUCCGCCUGGGGAGUACGAC
RNAcentral lists this ribosomal RNA (859 nucleotides) under uncultured bacterium. RNAcentral describes it as "bacterial SSU rRNA". It matches the Rfam family "Bacterial small subunit ribosomal RNA", at positions 64 to 886 of the family's 1533-position model. The record is from RNAcentral.